UGCAAGUCGAGCGGAGCGAGGGUGCUUGCACCUUAGCUUAGCGGCGGACGGGUGAGUAAUGCUUAGGAAUCUGCCUAUUAGUGGGGGACAACAUUCCGAAAGGAAUGCUAAUACCGCAUACGCCCUACGGGGGAAAGCAGGGGAUCUUCGGACCUUGCGCUAAUAGAUGAGCCUAAGUCGGAUUAGCUAGUUGGUGGGGUAAAGGCCUACCAAGGCGACGAUCUGUAGCGGGUCUGAGAGGAUGAUCCGCCACACUGGGACUGAGACACGGCCCAGACUCCUACGGGAGGCAGCAGUGGGGAAUAUUGGACAAUGGGCGGAAGCCUGAUCCAGCCAUGCCGCGUGUGUGAAGAAGGCCUUUUGGUUGUAAAGCACUUUAAGCGAGGAGGAGGCUACUGGUACUAAUACUACUGGAUAGUGGACGUUACUCGCAGAAUAAGCACCGGCUAACUCUGUGCCAGCAGCCGCGGUAAUACAGAGGGUGCGAGCGUUAAUCGGAUUUACUGGGCGUAAAGCGUGCGUAGGCGGCUGAUUAAGUCGGAUGUGAAAUCCCUGAGCUUAACUUAGGAAUUGCAUUCGAUACUGGUCAGCUAGAGUAUGGGAGAGGAUGGUAGAAUUCCAGGUGUAGCGGUGAAAUGCGUAGAGAUCUGGAGGAAUACCGAUGGCGAAGGCAGCCAUCUGGCCUAAUACUGACGCUGAGGUACGAAAGCAUGGGGAGCAAACAGGAUUAGAUACCCUGGUAGUCAUUGCCGUAAACGAUGUCUACUAGCCGUUGGGGCCUUUGAGGCUUUAGUGGCGCAGCUAACGCGAUAAGUAGACCGCCUGGGGAGUACGGUCGCAAGACUAAAACUCAAAUGAAUUGACGGGGGCCCGCACAAGCGGUGGAGCAUGUGGUUUAAUUCGAUGCAACGCGAAGAACCUUACCUGGUCUUGACAUAGUAAGAACUUUCCAGAGAUGGA
RNAcentral lists this ribosomal RNA (960 nucleotides) under Acinetobacter sp. RNAcentral's name for it is "bacterial SSU rRNA". It matches the Rfam family "Bacterial small subunit ribosomal RNA", at positions 56 to 1010 of the family's 1533-position model. The record is from RNAcentral. Lineage: Bacteria; Pseudomonadati; Pseudomonadota; Gammaproteobacteria; Moraxellales; Moraxellaceae.